AUGGCUGAGCAGGCAAGAGCAGAUUUUGCAACAAAGCUCUCACUACGGAAAUUCAUGGCGACGGCGCAGCGUGUAACUCUAGAUCAAAGGCAGCUUGCACGUAGCAUGGGCCUGGAUCAUCUGCUUGACCUAAAAUGUGAUACUCUGCCACGCGGUGUCGUUCAUUAUCUGGCAUCAAACUUUGAUGUACCCUCAAGGGCUAUUGAACUCCCCAAUGGGUUCAAGUUCACAAUCACACCCUACUGCAUACACCAGGUCCUGGGGAUACCACUUGGCGGCAGAACCAUAGAGAAGAAGCAAAACCCAGCACUUAGAUCACUGAUUGCUCAACAGACAAAAUGCAAAGGAAACUACCCAACCAUAAACGAGCUGGAUAACUUGAUACAACCUAGGCUAGAUGGAGAUUCAUUCAAAAGGAUUUUCACAAUGUAUGCGCUCACCGUGCUCCUCUGCCCUUCAAGCCAUGGGGCUGCUAGUCCAGAUUACUACCACAUUCUGGAAGACCCUGAACAGAUUGGCUCAUUCGACUUCUGCACGGCUGUCCUUGACAAGCUUGUGGCGUCAAUUGAUAGCUACAAGGCUGGAGCCACAACGGUGCUCGCCGGGGAUCUCUUAACACUCACGAUCAUAUACUUUGAAUUUCUUGACACCGACAUCAUGCCGGUCACAAGCAAGCGGCCACGGAUUUCACUUUGGACGUCUGAAAUUGUAGCAGAAUAUGAAAGGCGGGACUGCACAAGCAGCGAUAAAUUGCUU
Molecule: ribosomal RNA, 756 nt
Filed under: Triticum aestivum (bread wheat)
Lineage: Eukaryota; Viridiplantae; Streptophyta; Magnoliopsida; Poales; Poaceae
Description: partial small subunit ribosomal RNA
Source: RNAcentral